RNAcentral lists this ribosomal RNA (442 nucleotides) under uncultured Flavobacteriaceae bacterium. RNAcentral's name for it is "bacterial SSU rRNA". It matches the Rfam family "Bacterial small subunit ribosomal RNA", at positions 523 to 968 of the family's 1533-position model. Lineage: Bacteria; Pseudomonadati; Bacteroidota; Flavobacteriia; Flavobacteriales; Flavobacteriaceae. The record is from RNAcentral.
AUACGAAGGGACCUAGCGUAGUUCGGGAUUACUGGGCUUAAAGAGUUCGUAGGUGGUUGAAAAAGUUAGUGGUGAAAUCCCAGAGCUUAACUCUGGAACUGCCAUUAAAACUUUUCAGCUAGAGUAUGAUAGAGGAAAGCAGAAUUUCUAGUGUAGAGGUGAAAUUCGUAGAUAUUAGAAAGAAUACCAAUUGCGAAGGCAGCUUUCUGGAUCAUUACUGACACUGAGGAACGAAAGCAUGGGUAGCGAAGAGGAUUAGAUACCCUCGUAGUCCAUGACCGUAAACGAUGGUCACUAGCUGUUCGGACUUCGGUCUGAGUGGCUAAGCGAAAGUGAUAAGUGACCCACGUGGGGAUACGUUCGCAAGAAUGAAACUCAAAGGAUUGGACGGGGCCCGCACAAGCGGUGGAGCAUGUGGUUUAAUUCGAUGAUACGCGAGGAA